UGGCGGACGGGUGAGUAAUGUCUGGGAAACUGCCCGAUGGAGGGGGAUAACUACUGGAAACGGUAGCUAAUACCGCAUAACGUCGCAAGACCAAAGAGGGGGACCUUAGGGCCUCUUGCCAUCGGAUGUGCCCAGAUGGGAUUAGCUAGUAGGUGGGGUAACGGCUCACCUAGGCGACGAUCCCUAGCUGGUCUGAGAGGAUGACCAGCCACACUGGAACUGAGACACGGUCCAA
RNAcentral lists this ribosomal RNA (235 nucleotides) under uncultured bacterium. Its description in RNAcentral is "partial 16S ribosomal RNA". It matches the Rfam family "Bacterial small subunit ribosomal RNA", at positions 96 to 334 of the family's 1533-position model. The record is from RNAcentral.